CAGUAGCCGCGGGAAUACGGAGGGUGCAAGCGUUAAUCGGAAUUACUGGGCGUAAAGCGCACGCAGGCGGUUUGUUAAGUCAGAUGUGAAAUCCCCGAGCUUAACUUGGGAACUGCAUUUUAAACUGGCAAGCUAGAGUCUUGUAGAGGGGGGUAGAAUUCCAGGUGUAGCGGUGAAAUGCGUAGAGAUCUGGAGGAAUACCGGUGGCGAAGGCGGCCCCCUGGACAAAGACUGACGCUCAGGUGCGAAAGCGUGGGGAGCAAACAGGAUUAGAGACCCCUGUAGUCCCUGUCUCUUAUAC
RNAcentral lists this ribosomal RNA (301 nucleotides) under uncultured bacterium. RNAcentral describes it as "partial 16S ribosomal RNA". It matches the Rfam family "Bacterial small subunit ribosomal RNA", at positions 509 to 807 of the family's 1533-position model. The record is from RNAcentral.